Molecule: ribosomal RNA, 253 nt
Filed under: uncultured bacterium
Lineage: Bacteria
Description: partial 16S ribosomal RNA
Rfam family: Bacterial small subunit ribosomal RNA
Source: RNAcentral
UACGUACGAGGCGAGCGUUAUCCGGAAUUACUGGGCGUAAAGAGUGUGUAGGCGGUGCUCUAAGUUUGGUGUGAAAUCUCCCGGCUCAACUGGGAGGGUGCGCCGAAAACUGGAAUGCUUGAACAUGGGAGAGGAAAGCGGAAUUCCUGGUGUAGCGGUGAAAUGCGUAGAUAUCAGGAGGAACACCUGCGGUGUAGACGGCUUUCUGGACCAUUGUUGACGCUGAGACACGAAAGCGUGGGUAGCAAACAGG